AGCUUGUUGGUGAGGUAACAGCUCACCAAGGCUACGAUGUCUAGGGGGUCUGAGAGGAUGGUCCCCCACACUGGUACUGAGACACGGACCAGACUCCUACGGGAGGCAGCAGUGAGGAAUAUUGGUCAAUGGGCGAAAGCCUGAACCAGCCAUGCCGCGUGAAGGAUGACAGCCCUAUGGGUUGUAAACUUCUUUUGUACGGGAAGAAACGCUUCUACGUGUAGAGGUUUGACGGUACCGUACGAAUAAGCAUCGGCUAACUCCGUGCCAGCAGCCGCGGUAAUACGGAGGAUGCAAGCGUUAUCCGGAUUUAUUGGGUUUAAAGGGUACGUAGGCGGGAGCUUAAGUCAGUGGUGAAAUCCUGCAGCUUAACUGUAGAACUGUCAUUGAUACUGGGCUUCUUGAAUGUAGUUGAGGUAGGCGGAAUGUGUAAUGUAGCGGUGAAAUGCUUAGAUAUUACACAGAACACCGAUUGCGAAGGCAGCUUACUAAACUACGAUUGACGCUGAGGUACGAAAGCGUGGGGAGCGAACAGGAUUAGAUACCCUGGUAGUCCACGCUGUAAACGAUGAUCACUCGUUGUUGGCAAUACACCGUCAGCGACUGAGCGAAAGCAUUAAGUGAUCCACCUGGGGAGUACGACCGCAAGGUUGAAACUCAAAGGAAUUGACGGGGGCCCGCACAAGCGGAGGAACAUGUGGUUUAAUUCGAUGAUACGCGAGGAACCUUACCUGGGCUUAAAUGUAGAACGACGGACCGGGAGACUGGUCUUUCUUCGGACGGUCUGCAAGGUGCUGCAUGGCUGUCGUCAGCUCGUGCCGUGAGGUGUCGGGUUAAGUCCCAUAACGAGCGCAACCCUCAUCAUUAGUUGCCAGCGGGUAAUGCCGGGGACUCUAAUGAAACUGCCGGUGUCACCGAGAGGAAGGUGGGGAUGACGUCAAGUCAGCACGGCCCUUAUGUCCAGGGCUACACACGUGUUACAAUGGUCGGUACAAAGGGCAGCUACCUGGCGACAG
Molecule: ribosomal RNA, 1016 nt
Filed under: uncultured organism
Description: bacterial SSU rRNA
Rfam family: Bacterial small subunit ribosomal RNA
Source: RNAcentral